RNAcentral lists this ribosomal RNA (435 nucleotides) under uncultured bacterium. Its description in RNAcentral is "bacterial SSU rRNA". It matches the Rfam family "Bacterial small subunit ribosomal RNA", at positions 29 to 506 of the family's 1533-position model. The record is from RNAcentral.
AUGAACGCUGGCGGUGUGCCUAAUACAUGCAAGUCGAGCGGUAACACUUCGGGUGACGAGCGGCGGACGGCUGAGUAACGCGUAGGAACAUACCCCAAACUGAGGGAUAACUGCCCGAAAGGGUAGCUAAUACCGCAUGUGAUCUUCGGAUUAAAGCUUCGGCGGUUUGGGAAUGGCCUGCGUUCGAUUAGGUAGUUGGUGAGGUAAUAGCUCACCAAGCCGACGAUCGAUAGCUGGUCUGAGAGGAUGAUCAGCCAGACUGGGACUGAGACACGGCCCAGACUCCUACGGGAGGCAGCAGUAUGGAAUUUUCCACAAUGGGCGGAAGCCUGAUGGAGCAACACCGCGUGCAGGAUGAAGGCCUUAGGGUUGUAAACUGCUUUUAUAUGUGACGAUUGUGACGGUAGCAUAUGAAUAAGGACCUGCUAACUACGU